This 349-nucleotide ribosomal RNA is filed under the name Ceryloninae gen. nr. Philothermus sp. CO930. Its description in RNAcentral is "partial 12S ribosomal RNA". Lineage: Eukaryota; Metazoa; Arthropoda; Insecta; Coleoptera; Cerylonidae. The record is from RNAcentral.
UAAAAUAGUAAUAAUUUUAGAGAUUAGUAGUAGUUAAGUUCUUGAAAAUUAAAGAUUUUGGCGGUAUUUUAGUCUAUUCAGAGGAACCUGUCCUAUAAUUGAUAUUCCACGAUAAAAUUUAUUUAUCUUUUAAAUUUAUAUAUCGUCGUUAAUUAAAUAUUUUAAAAGAAUAUAAAAUAUUUAAAAUUUUUAAUAAAAUAGUAAAUCAGAUCAAGAUGUAGUUUAUAGAUAAAAAGAGAUGGGUUACAAUAAGAUAAGUUAUGGAUUAAAAAAUAAAAAAUUUUUAUGAAAAUGGAUUUGAAAGUAAUUUUAUUUUUGAAUUUAAAAUGAUUUAAGCUCUAGAAUAUGC